RNAcentral lists this long non-coding RNA (2086 nucleotides) under Manihot esculenta (cassava). RNAcentral describes it as "long non-coding RNA (MESC_LNC001937)". The record is from RNAcentral. Lineage: Eukaryota; Viridiplantae; Streptophyta; Magnoliopsida; Malpighiales; Euphorbiaceae.
UCGAGCAUAUAAAAGGGAUAUCUAAAAGAAGGAAAAAUAAAGAACCAAAUAUAAGGAGGAGGAGGACUACUUCGCAAUGUCGAAGAUGAAACAAAACUAUGUCUAAAAAGGCUACAUGGCCUACUUGCUGAUAACGGACAUAGGAGUAAUGAUUUCCUUAGGUCUUUAAAGCAACUUAACAUGCAGAGAAAAGGAAGGGUCCUUGUAAAAAAGAAAACUCUUAAAUUGAGUCAAAUUCGACAAAAGUUUCACCAAAUCGAGUCCGAGACAACGCAGCAAAACUUCUUCAGAACUGAAUCUGUCCAGCAACCAUCACCAUAAGACUUAACAAAUCACUAGAAGGCUAAGUAAAUGAUAUAAAUGUGUUUUCCAUAGAUUUCACAACCUGCAACAAAAAAAAAGAAAAACUAUUUAUAAUUCCAUCAGAGUGGAAAGGAACAAACGAGAUUGGCCACAACGACUUUCCCUGCCCCUAAGGACUGAAGAAGCUCUCUAGAAGAAAGAGAGAAUCUUUUCCUAGAAGGAUCUAGAAAGAAAUUAUUUUAUUUAAAAUUUCUUUUUUUUGGCUAAAACAAUAAUUUGAGUUUAUAUUAUAAUUUUAAUUUUACGAAUUAAAAUUUGGUUAAUCAAUAACUACAUAAACUAGUUUUUUAGUAUGUGCGUUGCACAUUAUUUUAUCAUUUUCAACAAUAUUUAUUUAUUUUUAUCAAUUUUAAACAAAUUUUUAAUGUUUAUAUAUAAAAUGUAUUUAUUUUUGAGUUUAUAUAAUUUAGAAAUGUAUAAAUAUAUUUAUCAUGUUAAUUUAAACAUGAAAUUUGAUUUCCAUUUACACAUUCCAACUAAUUAUACAAAUAUAAAAAUAUUAAAAAUUGCUAGCACAAUCUUUGAAAUGAAUCAUAAAUAUGAAUAUUAAUGGUUGAAUACCUCAUUUUCAUUUUAAAAGAACAAUAUAAUUUUAUUAUAUUUUUAAAAUUCACCAUUUAUAAUAAUAUAUAUACAAAAGAAUUAGUUUCCUAAUUUAGGAUAAAUUUUGAUAAAUAUUUUUAAAUUCAUCAUAUAUAAUCACAUAUAUUAUUAAUAUUAUAUAAAUAUUAUAUUGCUUUUAUAAAAGGUAUUAACAAUGUAUGUAUUAGUUAAAAUUUCUUCUUCUUUUUUUGAAUACAUUUCUUUUAUUUUCUUGUACUCACUUUUUUCAUUGAAAAUUUAUUUAUAUAAAAUUUUAAAAUUAAAAUUUAUCAUCAUUUUAAUUACAUAGAUGAACAUUAAACUUUUUCCUCAUAAAAAACCAUUGGUUUUUAAUUAAAAGAAUAUUUAAAAUGUGAUACAUUAUAGUUAUCAAUAAAUUAAAUAGAGUACAAAUUUUAUUAUUUUUUAUUUUUUAUUUGUUAAUCAAUUUGUAUAUAAAUCAAAUUAAACGGAAAAAAGGAUUUUUUUUGUGUUUAUUUAAAAAAUUAUAAUAUUUCAUUGCACAUUAAAAUCAUUAUUUAAAAUUUCAAUUUUAUAAAGUGAAAGUAACGUUUUUUUAUUGUAAUAAAACAAAAUUUUAAUUAAAAGAAUUUAAGUAUAGAAAAAUAAGAAUUUAAAAUUUAUAUAAACUUUAUAAAUAAUUGUAAUAAUAAAAUUUAAAAUAAGUUAAUUGUAGCAAUUAAUUAAAUUUAGUCUUGAUUGAUAUAAAUUAUAAAGGAUAAAAAAAAUAGACCAAAAUAUUGAAUCUUUUAAAAGAAAGCAUAAAUUUGUAAUUUUUGUGGAAGUCACAUUUUUAAUAAAUUUCAUACUUUUUUAAUUAUUUUUCAAAAUUUUAUUUAAAUUGAAGAUUAAUAUAAAUAAAUAGGAAUAAAAACUUCUAAUUUAGUUAAAUAUCAAAAUAAAAAGUUUUUUCGGCAAAAAAAAAAGUUUUUAGUUUAAUUAAUUUAAAAAACAAAAAGUGGAAGAUUAAAAAUUAAAAUUAAUUUAUAUAUAUAUAUAUAUAUAUGAAGGAACUUACUGAUAUAUCGCCGAACUUUGCUGUACGAGUCUAUGAGAGCACGAGAAACAGGUCUCCUCGAGUGGAGCUCCAAAUUCGCUUGAGCUUACUUUUCCACCUCUC